This is a long non-coding RNA of Oncorhynchus tshawytscha (Chinook salmon), 1548 nucleotides long. Lineage: Eukaryota; Metazoa; Chordata; Actinopteri; Salmoniformes; Salmonidae. The record is from Ensembl.
UUGAUGAGUUGGAGAAGAAUGAACCUACCACUGAUACACUCUCACAAAGAGGGACCUGGGGUGCAGAUGGUGGUGGAGGUGUUUGGCGUGGAGAGGACAGUGAAUUCAGUGGAGGACAUCCCAGCCACUUGACAGUGUUGGCACUGUUACUUCCUACCUGACGGGUGAAGGAUGAUAAACCCGUGUUUGAGAAGAGGUGUCUGGUGUGGGAGAACAUGCGGAUUCCCUCAAAGUUCCUGAAGGAGGAGUUGAAGGCGGAGCAUGCGUAGUACCUGCGGCAACACCCAGGUCUAUCUGUCUUCAGAGAGAUCUAGAGUGCAGACAGCAGAUGGUGGUGGUGGAGAUGUUUGGGGUGGAGAGGACAGUGGAUUCAGUUGGAGGACAUCCCAGCCACUUGGCAGUGUUGGUGUAACAGUAUAACUUUAGACCGUCCCCUCGCCCAUACCCGGGCGCGAACCAGGGACCCUCUGGACACAUCAACAACAGUCACCCACGAAGCAUCGUUACACAUCGCUCCACAAAAGCCGCGGCCCUUGCAGAGCAAGGGGAACCACUACUUCAAGGUCUCAGAGCAAGUGACGUCACCGAUUGAAACGCUAUUUAGCGCGCACCGCUAACUAAGCUAGCCGUUUCACAUCCGUUACAUUGGGACUGCUACUUCCUACCUGACGGGAAAGAGGUCACUCUACUUAAACAAUCAAUAAAUCAAGCAAAUGUAAUUUACAUACAAGACACCAGUGCUCCAUUCAUCUCUUUCUCUCUUUGUUGUCAUAUCCUGUUCCUGUUUAGGCACCUGGCCACCCGAGUGCAGGUGGGCUCUGUCAACAUGAGGCUCUUACUGGUCCUACCCCAAGUACACACAGGUAUACACAGGUACACACACACAAACCACUAACCCCUAAGUUUCCAACAUGACCUGACAUGUGUGUUACAGGAGUUGAAGAUGCCUUGUACCAGCGGCAGCACCCAGCGCUCCAAGCCAUGAUGGGUCGACUUCCUGCAGUUCCUGCUACUACGAAAACUGAGCGAGGUCAUCAUGUUCGCCCGCAAGGACUUCUUUGCCUCCUGCCAACUCCCGGGUGGCACCUUGAACACCUCCUCACCUUGAGGACACACAUUGUGGCUGCGUCUGUGUCUCAAUAGUCUAGUAGCUUUCUUUGACUGGCACUUUAGUGAGGACAAUACUAUUCUGGUUGGCACUUGUCACCAGUAUGUACAGAGACCCUCGAGAUCUAGAGUAUUGAUAAAAUACGAAUGCUUUUAUGGAUGUUUUUUAUUUUGUGAUGUUUUUACUGUCUGUUUGUAUGAGGUGCACUGAAACAAAUUCCUAAUCAACUCUGUUAUGGAAAUCGCAAGAGGUCCAGUUAUGUCACAGUUAUUGUGAAUGAAAAUAAAAUGUAUCAUUUCAUGUCUUGUAUGUUUCCCAUGCUUAAUUUCUGUGGAGUAAUUCCAGUAACUGCUAAUUUGCUUUGGCUCUAAUCUGAUCAACCGAUAAUUCUUUAAAGAAUAAUGUUAUAAAUAAAAUUAUUCUCAUGCUUGUCUGACUCC